Molecule: long non-coding RNA, 239 nt
Organism: Equus caballus (horse)
Lineage: Eukaryota; Metazoa; Chordata; Mammalia; Perissodactyla; Equidae
Source: RefSeq, a predicted model, not a curated record
AUCACUCACACCCACUUUGCAUGGACACCUAUAUCAAAUUGAUUGUUGUUUACAAGGCCUUGGAACUAGACUAGUUCCUCAUGGCCCUUACUUCACUGUUAUGUAUCACACAAUGACAAGACAGAUUGUCAUCAGUUAACCAAUAAGAAGGACAAAAAAUAAAGAAAAGAAAAGGAAACUGAUAUGGAUAAACUUAAACAAAAUUGCCAAAGACAACACAAGUUAAAAAUGUAACGCCA